Molecule: RNA transcript, 5293 nt
Organism: Sarcophilus harrisii (Tasmanian devil)
Lineage: Eukaryota; Metazoa; Chordata; Mammalia; Dasyuromorphia; Dasyuridae
Gene: CNNM3
Gene name: cyclin and CBS domain divalent metal cation transport mediator 3
Exons: 9
Source: RefSeq, a predicted model, not a curated record
GGGGGUGGCUGGUGAUGGCGGCGGCGGCGGCGGCGGCUGGCGGCCUACGCUGGGUGCUCGCCGCGCUCUGUUUGGGCUGCGCUGCUGGGGGGGACACGUCAGGCCCGCGGGUACUGGGUUUCUGCUUGGAAGAGGACGGAGACGGGACAGAGGGUCCCGUGUGGGCCCGGGGCCGGGUGGUCCGGGCCGCGCCCGGAGCCGCCUUCCGCUUGCGGCUCUUCGGCUCCGGUUUCGCCAACCGCUCGUGGCCCUGGGUGGCCUUCGCUCCGGCGGGCGCGGACUGCCCGGAGGGGGGAGGGGACUCGGAAUCGGGGGACGCUCGGGGGGGAGCGGGCGCGCCCCUGAGCGUGAACCCCGAGGCCGUGCGGCCUCACUCGGCGCUGCUCGCGGUGCGCGUGGAGCCCGGCGGGCCCGCGGGGGGCGCGCGCUAUCGCUUGUGCAGCCGCGAGGGGCCCGAGGGGCGGUGGGCGCCCACGGCCGAGGGGGACUCGCUCGCCGUUGAGGAGGCGCCCCUGUUGCCCUGGGCGCUGGGUCUGCUGGUGGCCGCGCUGUUGGGGCUGGCGGCGCUGGCUCGCGGGCUGCAGCUGAGCGCCCUGGCCCUGGAGCCCGCCGAGGUGCAGGUGCUGCGCGAGAGCGGCUCGGAGGCGGAGCGGGCAGCCGCGCGGCGCUUGGAGCCCCUGCGGCGCUGGGGCAGCUUCGCCCUGUGCGCGCUACUGCUCCUGGCCAGUCUCGCCCAGGCCGCACUCGCCGUGCUUCUCUAUCGCGCCGUGGGCCAAAGAGCCGUGCCCGCCGUGCUGGGCAGCGCGGGCCUCGUUUACCUGGUGGGCGAGGUGGCGCCUGCUGCCGUCAGCGGCCGCUGGGCCCUGACCCUCGCGCCGCGCGCGCUGGGGCUCACCCGCCUGGCGGUGCUGCUCACUUUCCCCGUGGCCUUGCCCGUGGGCAAGCUCUUGGAGCUGGCCCUGCGCCAGGAAGGCGGCCGGCUGCGGGAGCGGGUGGUGGAUCUGGCCCGGGGCACCGACCCUUACAACGAGUUCGUGAGGGAGGAGUUCAGCAAGGGGGCUCUGCGGUGCAAAACGGUGGAGGACGUGCUCACCCCGCUGAAGGACUGCUUCAUGCUGGACGCUUCGGCCGUCCUGGACUUCGGCGUCAUGUCCACCAUCAUGCAGAGCGGCUACACGCGCAUCCCCGUGUACGAGGAAGAGCGCUCCAAUAUAGUGGACAUGCUCUACCUCAAGGACUUGGCCUUCGUGGACCCGGAGGACUGCACCCCGCUCAGCACCAUUAUCCGGUUCUACAACCACCCGCUCCACUUCGUCUUCAACGACACCAAGCUGGAUGCCGUCCUGGAAGAAUUCAAACGAGGGAAGUCACAUCUGGCCAUUGUACAGAAGGUGAACAAUGAAGGUGAGGGAGACCCUUUCUAUGAAGUUAUGGGUCUUGUGACCCUGGAGGAUGUCAUUGAGGAGAUAAUUAAGUCCGAGAUCCUAGAUGAAUCUGAUGACUAUGGAGAAAAUAAGGUGAAAAAGAAACCUACUUCUCUCAGCACUCCCAUAGAGCGAAAGAAGGAGGAAUUCUCCUUGUUCAAAGGGUCUGACAAUGAGUAUAAAGUGAAGAUAUCCCCCCAACUGCUCCUGGCCACUCAACGUUUCCUCUCCCGAGAGGUGGACUUAUUUAGCCCACUACGAAUCUCAGAGAAGAUCCUGCUACACCUGCUGAAGCAUCCCAGUGUCAACCAGGAAGUGAAGUUUGAUGAAUGCAACCGACUGGCUGCAGACCAUUACCUGUACCAGCGCAAUCAGCCAGUUAACUAUUUCAUUCUCAUCCUGCAGGGCAGGGUUGAGGUGGAGAUUGGGAAGGAGGGCCUCAAGUUUGAAAAUGGAGCCUUCACUUACUAUGGUGUGUCUGCCCUGUCUGUACCAUCCUCAGUUCAUCAGUCCCCAGUUUCUUCAAUUCGGCCCAGCCGACGUGACCUGCAGUCCGAGCCAGCAGAGAGUACCCACUAUUCCUCUACAUAUUGUCCAGACUACACCGUGAGGGCCCUUUCUGACCUGCAGUUCAUUAAGGUAACUCGACUGCAGUACCUCAAUGCACUCAUGGCAUCACGUGCCCAGAAUUCCCCACAGUCUCCUGAGAACCUGGACCUUCAAAUUGUUCCCAACAGCCAGACCAAGCUACUCAAUAACAAGAUUGCUGCAGCAGCAGCCUUCCCAGUAAACAUUUCCCUCUUUGGCACAGUUGGAAACUGCAGUUGAUAGAUGACUGUGGACUAGUGAGAAUUUUUGUUUUUUAGAAAACACCCAAGGGACAACCAACAGCAGACCGAACUCCCCAACAGAAGAGAGUCUUGGGAAAAACACGAGAGUUUAAUUUCUUGCCAUGCAGCCCCAGAACUGGGGAUGGACAAGCAAGUGGGGAACUUGAGUGAGCCCAGGAGUAGCUUCAUGCCAACUUGUCCCUUUCCUUUCUGGCCACGUUUUAGGUGGCUUUUAGAGACAUGGGCUCUGGGCCUAAUGCCAGUGUUAGGAGCCUGGUGCAGAUAAGAAACCUGCCUCUUUGGGGGGAUGGGAAUCAGCUGUAGCAUCAUUCUCCAGACCCUGCUCCUGGGACAGGAGUCAACAGGGGAAUUAAAGACCAUCAUCUCGGAAUCCCAAGGUGCCCUUUCCCCCAUUUACCUCCCCCCUCCCCCCCCAAUGGAGUACUUCACAGCCUAAGGCUGUGAUAGUGGAGUAUUAUUACUUUUCGAAUGCAGAAAUUAUACUCUUUUAACAUGUGGCUGUGACCUGCAUUCACCUCGUUUUUAAUUUGCCAAGUACCUGCUGUUGGCAGCACUUUGAGAGUGAGCCAAGAACACUGCAGCCUCUGCCCAAAGCUUUGAUCAGAGGCUUUGUCUGUGGCAGUAUGCUCUGGCCUUUGAGGCUGUUCCCUUCUUCAGUGUCACAUUUUUAUCUUCCCCUUUUAUGUCUUUCAUGUGCCAAACCCAAGUACUAUAUAGUGGCAGGUGCACAGCCUGUCUAUUCCCCAAAACUCCUCCUGUGGAGGCUGCUGUUUGCCCAAAUAAAAAGAGCAAGCUUUUCCCACUCCCAGCUCUCUCUCUGAACUAAGGGUUCAGCCCAAAUUGUACUUCCCUUCCUGACUUGGUCUUGCUGCUUUAAAUUAUUAGAGGUAGUCCCUCAUGCUACACAGGUGAAGGACCCAGAUUUCUCCCUUUUCCCAGGGCUAGUUGCUAUUUACUAAUAGUAUUUUUUUUUUUUUUUGAGGUCACGUAUGGAAGGAAGGUGUGCUAUUUGAAUCUAUCCUUACUAUGAUCCCACGUCAUGGUUUUCUAACAACCUCUUGGUUCUGUUGUACCCCAGUCUUACACCUUUUGCUCCUGAUGGUCUUAUAUUCAGUAUAUAACCAACAAUGUGAUUGCCAUCCUUGGGAAGCUGGCGUAUAGAAGAGCAUUUUGAAUUUCUCUAGAGAUUCAAUCUUAAUUCCUGAUCUUAGGAAUAGAAUUUAAAAGAGGAUUACUUCUCUUCUUCACACUGGAGCUUCCUUUAAACCAACUGCUUGCCAUUAUAUGAGUAAUGGAAGUCCCAAGACCAGAGAUCACUGCCUAAAAGGCAAAGUUAGAGACCUAGUUUAGAAGAGAUUGAUCCCUUUCUGGGGUCAAGGUAAUCUGAGGUUCUUUAACUGAGUUGCUUUUUUCCUUGGUAGUCUUUCCAUCUGGAAUGGGGAACCAGAAUGGUAGGGCUGCCUGGGCAAUUAGCUGAAGCAAGUAAAAGGGGGAACAGAUUUAGCUCAAUCUUUCUUAAGAGGGAUUAUUAACAAGUCACCUAUGCACAAUAAGUCCAAAAUCCCAAACGUGGAGCAGGGGCACCCUGCACUAUGAGUAACAUCAUCCUCUCCUUCCCCCCGCACUAAGUGCUACUGGUAAAUGAUAAAUUUCUAAGCUUUAGUUGGCAGUUUUAGUGAAGCACUACAUGGCUUUGCAAUUCAGGACAAGGUAGUUAUGAUUGGAACAUGUCACACUUAAUAAUAGUUAUUUUUCAAAGCUUAGGUACCAAAAGUGGAAAAUGGAUUAUUGCUGUGAACACUUUUUCUCCAUCUUUUUUCUCUCCCUUUUCUUUUUCACACCAAUAUAGAGUAUAACCAGGCUACAAAAAGAAUCAGUUUUAAUGAAUAACAACAAAAUGGAUCCAUAUAAAAAUGUUUCAUUUGCUCUUAUUGCACUUUUUCCAUUUUCUCAUUUUAAUCACUGCCAUAAUCAUGUGACAGAACUUAUGUCCUCUGGCCCUAGCCUUGUAGACUACAAAGCCUAGAAGGCAAAGCCAGGCUGCUGGUGUGUGGAAGGUUUAUGACUUCAACCCACACGAGUGGGUUUAGUCUAUUGCUCUCAUCCAACGUGGAGAUCACUCAGCCCUUUAAGCUGAAGGGGAGUAGAAGCCUAUGAACAUUAGCAGCCACAGUGGCACUUGUCAUGUUAAGAAUAUGUAAUCCAGGCCUUUAGCCUAGGCCUGGCCCAGAGAACUUGCAUAGCAUGUAACAGGCUAAGGGAGAGGUCCUGUCCUUUUUUGGGUUUCCUCCUCCUCCUCUGUCAGUCAGCUAAAGCAAGGUUUUUGAAGAAGAGGUCUCUGGUGGAUUUGAAGAUCUCAGCCUGACCAGCAGUACUGGAUCAGCAAUACAAUAGAAAGCAGAAAACUUAGUGGUAAGGACAAUAGAAACUUGCCUUAGGAUUCCAUCUAUCAGUAUCCACUAAGAAAGGUAAUAUAAAAAGAGGAUCUCAGUUAAUCAUUCAGUGUACAAAAAUAAAUGGAGAAAGUAUCCAGAAUGUAUUCAUACUCAGUUCCAUUAUCUUCUCUGCAGCCAAACUUUCCUGUGCUUUUAGCACAAGGGAGCCUGAAAAUCCAAACCUUGCUGGAUGUAGGACAGCAGGCAUAGUUCCUUCUCUGACAAGCAGGAAAGAGAGGUGGCACCUCAACACCAUGGCAAUCUACCCCAGCACUGACUGCCAUGUCAGGGAAGCCUCAAUCCUUGCGAAUUUGGGCCACCCCUCCAUGUAUUUCAGGAGGAGGGGGGGGGCUACAAAUAACUGCAGAGCAAGAGACUGUCACACUGAUACCUAGGCCUUGGUGAAAACAGAAAGUCAUAGAAAUUCUGACCAAAACCCUGGGGCAGAGAGAAAUGACUGGGGACCAGAGUGGUCUAACCCCUAAACUGUCAGUCUUACAGGACCCUUUAGCAACCAGGUUGGUUGUGGAUCUAGGGUUUGGUUUACUGCAAGUCACAACAACCAACUCAAGAGUCCUUAAGG